GGCGCCAUGGCUUAGUUGGUAAAGCGCGUGUCUAGUAAACAGGAGAUCCUGGGUUCAAAUCCCAGUGGUGCCU
This 73-nucleotide transfer RNA is filed under the name Petromyzon marinus (sea lamprey). RNAcentral's name for it is "tRNA-Thr (AGT) (tRNA-Thr-AGT-11-1)". It matches the Rfam family "tRNA". Rfam says of the family: Transfer RNA (tRNA) molecules are approximately 80 nucleotides in length. Their secondary structure includes four short double-helical elements and three loops (D, anti-codon, and T loops). Further hydrogen bonds mediate the characteristic L-shaped molecular structure. tRNAs have two regions of fundamental functional importance: the anti-codon, which is responsible for specific mRNA codon recognition, and the 3' end, to which the tRNAs corresponding amino acid is attached (by aminoacyl-tRNA synthetases). tRNAs cope with the degeneracy of the genetic code in two manners: having more than one tRNA (with a specific anti-codon) for a particular amino acid; and 'wobble' base-pairing, i.e. permitting non-standard base-pairing at the 3rd anti-codon position. The record is from RNAcentral. Lineage: Eukaryota; Metazoa; Chordata; Hyperoartia; Petromyzontiformes; Petromyzontidae.